AGACGCGUGGGAGAGUGAGGUCUUGGAGCUGCUGGAGCUGAUACGCUGCCGCCAUGGAGCUCCUGGCAGCUGCCGAAAUAUUUCUGGAGGCCCCAGUGAGAUUCCAACCAUUCUGGCCUCUUGAGCCACCAGAGCCAGGGCGAGGCCGCGCGGGGGUUGGGGGAGCCCAAGGAGCGAACGAGGUGACUGUGCCACCUGAUGGUAUCCCGGGUCCUCCUUCGUGAGUGGUGUUCCUUACUUCUGGCCAGCCCAACCCCGACGGGACUCGGCGGAAGGCGUCCAGACAAGGUGUCCGUGGCUCCAUCACACCAGAAUAAAGAAGGCUGCUCCCACCGCUGACACAGAUGCCUGGGACACUGCCUGGCACAGUGAGAACCCCCUCAAGGUCAAGAUAUGUAGGCGCCCACCAUCGGAAAACAAUGAGCCCUGCUCUGCCCACACCUGGAAGCUCGUUGAACUGUGCCCUGGAAGCCAGAGGAUCUCCAUGCAAACUUGAACUGACGGGGACUGUUGGUAAUUGCCAUUGCCAUUGCCAUAGCCCUCGUGUUUGGAGUGGGGCUCUGUGCCGUAACCCCCUCGGGAUGGGGACAGGGAGCCCAGCUGCCUGUCUGUGCAGUGUGUCUCCUGACGGGCAGUGUGCUAGGAUCCCUGCUCCUACCAGGUCAGCGAGCAAAAUCAAGGGACUCACAGUCCUGUGAACACUCGCCCUGCUGCUCACUCCAGGGGCGACAGGCUGGAACAGGGCUGACUCAUGCCAGGCUGCCUGGAAACCACUACCCGGCUGGCUACCGGGAAUAGAUUUCAAGUUCGAAGAGUUACAUGAGGGGCCUCCGCCGCCCCCCUGAUAAAGCUACUGGGCUGAAACUCAGCCCUCCGAGCCAAGGCCCCGGCCUGGGCCAGGUGCUGAAUGCGGGGACUGCUGGCUCUGGCUGCCCAUCCAGAAGCCCCAGCCUACUGCUGUCCCGAUGAGCGUCCUCAGUGCCGCCAGGGAAGGCAAAGCCAGUUGGAUCCAAGAACCUAGGCCGAUAGGUGUAUGCAUGCCUCUCAGGGCCCUGAGGUGCCUUCAGAGCCUUGGGAAAGUGGUUCAGGAACUCCCAUGGAAUAGGUUUGAGGACAGCCCCAUGUAGACCCGUGACGCCGGAUGCGAGGACAUCUUGGUGUCGCCAUCGGGAAGGCUGUGGGCGGUUGUACCUCCUGCUGGAGUCUGUGUUCCAGUCUGAGAGCUGCUAGCUUGGCCUCUGUCCCUGAAGGUGUGUCUUCCAGCCAAGGGGCCGCCCCCCAUCCCCCACCUUGCAGGGGGUUCUUCCAGGAGUCCAUCAGCCUGGCCGUCCUCUCUGUGAGCUCAGAAGAGACUGCCCCCGAGAUCGAUGCCAUGGUGUGUGUCUAGAUUCUGAUGCUGUGAGUGUAAUGAAGCCAGAUCAGAGAGCCUGUUCUCAGCUAGGCGGCCGUUCCUCCAGAAGUUUGGCAGCCCCACCAGCCCCCUCGCUCCCGGGGGGGGCCUUGCCCCUCCAGCCUCCGCGCUGCUCUCCGCACAGAGCUGCCGUGGCCGUGGCUGAGCGAGCCCUGGGUGGGGCGAGCAACCUCUUCGACACACACAGCGCUCCUGGCCAUGGCGCAGCGCUUCCGGCAGAACCGCAGUGAACUCAUGACCACCUGGACCUGUGGGUCUAUGACGGGGGGAGGGGGGGCCCAGCCCUGUCCCUGGAUUCCGGGGAGCAGAUGCUGCGGGCGACCUGACCGGCGACACUGUCUUCAGCUACUGCUGCAAGGCUCUGCAAGACGCUGCUGGCCUGGCGCCAGCGCUGGAAGUCCUUCCUGCACUUGGAGACCACUGAGCCGCCCUCUGGCCCUGGAUCGCCAUGGAGGAGGGCUUCCAACUGGUGUGUGAGCUGGGCACGCUGGACUGGAUCUACCACGAGCCAAGCCCAAGUGCCUGGCUCCCAAAGACAUGCCUGUGGCGGUGCCUACUGACGGCCGCGCCCUCGGAGCUGUCCCUCUCCCUGGUCAGCCUGCUGGUCAAGGGCAUGACGGUGCUGAAGAUCCAGACCAUGGCCGCCAAGCUCCUGCUGGGGCCCAACCCGAUGAACACAAAUCGUGGGCUGGCUGCUGAGCCGCGGUGUGUCCAGGGAGCGGGUGGACCGGUGAACCACCAGGGUCCUCCUGGAGCUGCCCAUCAAAGGGGCCAAGCACAGCCGGGGCUGAGGCCCCCCACGUGCUGGUGGAGGAGCAGCCCCUGCCUCCCCGGUCCUCUGACCAGGCCUGCAGGGAGGAGCUGCAGUGCACCAGGACUACGCACCCCACAAUCCAGGCCACUUUCUGCUUGGUGCUGGGAGUGGAGCAGGGGCCCAUGUCGGAGAGACACAAAGUCUUGGCCAAAGCGCCUCCUGAUCGUCCCCAGGAUAGACAGAGGGACAGCACCCCCAGCUCCAGCCAUCUCCUGCCAGGCCAGACCCUGACCACGCAUCCUGAAAACCUCGGAGAGGGUCCUUGCCCCCGCCGCCGUGGGCAUCACUGGCCUGAGCUGGUGGAGAGCAGCCAGUUGGCUGGCGUUGCUGGUUGAGGGGAGAGAGUCCGUUAAAUAUUUCAGUCUGUUACACCUUAGCCUGAUAAGCGGGGUGGGUGGGCACCCACCGUUGUGCCACACGGGCCCCCAACGCACUACAGGCCAAGCUUGAGACCCCGCAUCCCACCCCGCAAAAGCACCUUCAAGUUUGUGCCCUUGCCCUUGAGGUUUUUUCUUUAACGCGGUGGCUGUACCUGAUACUUGACUUUAGGCGUGUGCGGCGCUUGGGUUUAGUGUCCUCACUACUGCUUUUGUGAUGGUUUUUCUCUAAGUUGUUUUUUUUGUUUGUUUUUUUUGCAAUGCCCUUUUCUUGAAAUGGAAUUUUUUUGCCUUUUGCUUUCCUGGGAAAAGGGCAGCCAGUCCCUUCCAGUUUCUCUCGCUGCACGCGUGGCUGGAGUGUCUGCAUCACCAGAGUUCCAGCAUUGUGAGGAUGGACAGCCGUGGCAGGUGGUGCCGGACACCAUUAAAGAGCCCAUGUGCUGC
RNAcentral lists this long non-coding RNA (3046 nucleotides) under Sus scrofa (pig). Its description in RNAcentral is "lncRNA (ENSSSCG00000045200.2)". The record is from RNAcentral. Lineage: Eukaryota; Metazoa; Chordata; Mammalia; Artiodactyla; Suidae.